GUUAUAGGGUCAAGCGAACAAGUGCAUGUGGUGGAUGCCUUGGCGAUCACAGGCGAUGAAGGACGC
RNAcentral lists this ribosomal RNA (66 nucleotides) under Burkholderia cepacia. Its description in RNAcentral is "partial 23S ribosomal RNA". The record is from RNAcentral. RNAcentral also lists the same sequence under 23 other names. Lineage: Bacteria; Pseudomonadati; Pseudomonadota; Betaproteobacteria; Burkholderiales; Burkholderiaceae.